GACGAACGCUGGCGGCGUGCCUAAUACAUGCAAGUCGAACGCUUCUUUCCUCCCGAGUGCUUGCACUCAAUUGGAAAGAGGAGUGGCGGACGGGUGAGUAACACGUGGGUAACCUACCCAUCAGAGGGGGAUAACACUUGGAAACAGGUGCUAAUACCGCAUAACAGUUUAUGCCGCAUGGCAUAAGAGUGAAAGGCGCUUUCGGGUGUCGCUGAUGGAUGGACCCGCGGUGCAUUAGCUAGUUGGUGAGGUAACGGCUCACCAAGGCCACGAUGCAUAGCCGACCUGAGAGGGUGAUCGGCCACACUGGGACUGAGACACGGCCCAGACUCCUACGGGAGGCAGCAGUAGGGAAUCUUCGGCAAUGGGCGAAAGUCUGACCGAGCAACGCCGCGUGAGUGAAGAAGGUUUUCGGAUCGUAAAACUCUGUUGUUAGAGAAGAACAAGGACGUUAGUAACUGAACGUCCCCUGACGGUAUCUAACCAGAAAGCCACGGCUAACUACGUG
This 508-nucleotide ribosomal RNA is filed under the name uncultured bacterium. RNAcentral describes it as "partial 16S ribosomal RNA". It matches the Rfam family "Bacterial small subunit ribosomal RNA", at positions 28 to 507 of the family's 1533-position model. The record is from RNAcentral.